GUACGCGAGGGAAUCUGAAUACCGGUGGGGAAUAACGACGGGAAACUGUCGCUAAUACCGCAUACGCCCUAAGGGGGAAAGAUUUAUCGCUGAUAGAUGAGCCCGCGUACGAUUAGCUAGUUGGCGAGGUAAUGGCUCACCCCGGCUACAAUCGUUAGCUGGUCUGAGAGGAUGAUCAGCCACACUGGGACUGAAACACGGCCCAAACUCCUACGGGAGGCAGCAGUGGGGAAUAUUGGACAAUGGGCGAAAGCCUGAUCCAGCAAUGCCGCGUGAGUGAUGAAGGCCUUAGGGUUGU
Molecule: ribosomal RNA, 298 nt
Filed under: uncultured Sphingomonadaceae bacterium
Lineage: Bacteria; Pseudomonadati; Pseudomonadota; Alphaproteobacteria; Sphingomonadales; Sphingomonadaceae
Description: partial 16S ribosomal RNA
Rfam family: Bacterial small subunit ribosomal RNA
Source: RNAcentral